GUCUAUGGUCAUACCACCCUGAACACAUCUGAUGUUGUCUGAUCUUGGAAGCUACCCAGUGUGAGGCCUGCUUAGCACUUGGAUGGGAGUCCCUUAGAUUUGUUACCUUAAAUC
RNAcentral lists this ribosomal RNA (114 nucleotides) under Tursiops truncatus (common bottlenose dolphin). The record is from RNAcentral. Lineage: Eukaryota; Metazoa; Chordata; Mammalia; Artiodactyla; Delphinidae.